This 105-nucleotide transfer RNA is filed under the name Thermoproteus tenax Kra 1. It matches the Rfam family "tRNA". Rfam says of the family: Transfer RNA (tRNA) molecules are approximately 80 nucleotides in length. The record is from Rfam by way of RNAcentral. Lineage: Archaea; Thermoproteati; Thermoproteota; Thermoprotei; Thermoproteales; Thermoproteaceae.
GCCGCCGUAGCUAAGCCCGGUAUAGCGGCGGUCAGCCGCGGCGCCGGCCGCGGCGGGUCGAGGCUGUUAACCCGUAGGUCCCGGGUUCAAAUCCCGGCGGCGGCG